UUUUGAGACAAUACUUAUUGUGCAGAUUGUAAAUUAAAAUUUACAUUUAUAGAUUGACCUCAUGUAGGAGAGGAAGACCUUCUGGCUGACUACCUUGAUUUGUCAAUUUGGUGUGGAAUUCUUGUCUGCUCUUCUACUUGCUGAAAGGUCUCAUUUCGAUGUACUGUUGCAACUCACUUCUCAUUCCCAGCAACAAGCAUGAAGACGCAAUCUCAAAGGGGCAAUGAGUUCACAUCCAGAAGAAUUGAAGAUA
Non-coding RNA from Erythranthe guttata (spotted monkey flower), 253 nucleotides. The record is from RefSeq and is a predicted model, not a curated record. NCBI's taxonomy places the organism in Eukaryota, Viridiplantae, Streptophyta, Magnoliopsida, Lamiales, Phrymaceae.